UGGGGAAUAUUGGACAAUGGGCGCAAGCCUGAUCCAGCAAUGCCGCGUGUGUGAAGAAGGCCUUCGGGUUGUAAAGCACUUUUAUCAGGAGCGAAACGCUGUCGGCUAAUACCCGGCGGAACUGACGGUACCUGAGGAAUAAGCACCGGCUAACUUCGUGCCAGCAGCCGCGGUAAUACGAAGGGUGCAAGCGUUAAUCGGAAUUACUGGGCGUAAAGCGUGCGUAGGCGGUUUCUUAAGUCUGCUGUGAAAUCCCCGGGCUCAACCUGGGAAUGGCAGUGGAUACUGGGAGGCUAGAGUGUGUCAGAGGGUGGUGGAAUUCCCGGUGUAGCGGUGAAAUGCGUAGAGAUCGGGAGGAACAUCAGUGGCGAAGGCGGCCACCUGGGACAACACUGACGCUGAGGCACGAAAGCGUGGGGAGCAAACAGGAUUAGAUACCCUGGUAGCCCACGCCCUAAACGACGCGAACUGGAUGUUGGUCUCAACUCGGAGAUCAGUGUCGAAGCUAACGCGUUAAGUUCGCCGCCUGGGGAGUACGGUCGCAAGACUGAAACUCAAAUGAAUUGAC
Molecule: ribosomal RNA, 568 nt
Filed under: uncultured bacterium
Lineage: Bacteria
Description: partial 16S ribosomal RNA
Rfam family: Bacterial small subunit ribosomal RNA
Source: RNAcentral